GAUGAAGAACGUAGCGAAAUGCGAUAAGUAAUGUGAAUUGCAGAAUUCAGUGAAUCAUCGAAUCUUUGAACGCACCUUGCGCCCUUUGGCCAUUCCGAAGGGCAUGCCUGUUUGAGUAUCAUGAACACCUCAACUCUUUAUGGUUUUCCAUGAUGAGCUUGGACUCUGGGGGUUUUGCUGGCUCACAGUCGGCUCCUCUAAAAUGAAUCAGCUUACCAGUGUUUGGUGGCACCACAGGUGUGAUAACUAUCUACGCUUGUGGUUUUCUGCCAGGUAACCUCCAGUGAUGGAGGUUCGCUGGAGCUCACAAAUGUCUCUCCUCAGCGAGGACAGCUUUUUGAACGUUUGAUCUCAAAUCAGGUAGGACUACCCGCUGAACUUAAGCAUAUCAAUAAGCGGAGGA
This 403-nucleotide unclassified non-coding RNA is filed under the name soil metagenome. Its description in RNAcentral is "partial contains 5.8S ribosomal RNA, internal transcribed spacer 2, and large subunit ribosomal RNA". The stretch from base 1 to 121 matches the Rfam family "5.8S ribosomal RNA", at positions 35 to 154 of the family's 154-position model. The record is from RNAcentral.